UGGGGAAUAUUGGACAAUGGGCGCAAGCCUGAUCCAGCCAUGCCGCGUGAGUGAUGAAGGCCUUAGGGUUGUAAAGCUCUUUCGCCGACGAAGAUAAUGACGGUAGUCGGAGAAGAAGCCCCGGCUAACUUCGUGCCAGCAGCCGCGGUAAUACGAAGGGGGCUAGCGUUGUUCGGAAUCACUGGGCGUAAAGCGCACGUAGGCGGAUUGUUAAGUCAGGGGUGAAAGCCUGGAGCUCAACUCCAGAACUGCCCUUGAUACUGGCAAUCUCGAGUCCGGAAGAGGUAAGUGGAACUGCGAGUGUAGAGGUGAAAUUCGUAGAUAUUCGCAAGAACACCAGUGGCGAAGGCGGCUUACUGGUCCGGUACUGACGCUGAGGUGCGAAAGCGUGGGGAGCAAAACAGGAUUAGAUACCCUGGUAGUCCACGCCGUAAAACGAUGGAGGCUAGCCGUUGGCGAGCAUGCUCGUCAGUGGCGCAGCUAACGCAUUAAGCCUCCCGCCUGGGGAGUACGGUCGCAAGAUUAAAACUCAAAGGAAUUGACGGGGUCAUAGCUG
This 556-nucleotide ribosomal RNA is filed under the name uncultured bacterium. RNAcentral describes it as "partial 16S ribosomal RNA". It matches the Rfam family "Bacterial small subunit ribosomal RNA", at positions 355 to 932 of the family's 1533-position model. The record is from RNAcentral.